Molecule: transfer RNA, 54 nt
Filed under: Bos taurus (domestic cattle)
Lineage: Eukaryota; Metazoa; Chordata; Mammalia; Artiodactyla; Bovidae
Also listed under: 3 other names
Rfam family: tRNA
About the family: Transfer RNA (tRNA) molecules are approximately 80 nucleotides in length.
Source: Rfam by way of RNAcentral
UCUUGUUGGUAAAGAAUCUGCCUGCAAUGCAGGAGAUCCAGGUUCAAUCCCUGG